GACGAACGCUGGCGGCGUGCUUAACACAUGCAAGUCGAACGGAAAGGCCUGCCACCUUGGUGGUGGGUACUCGAGUGGCGAACGGGUGAGUAACACGUGGGUGAUCUGCCCCGCACUGUGGGAUAAGCCUGGGAAACUGGGUCUAAUACCACAUACGACCACACUGUAGACAGUGUGGUGGAAAGCUUUUGCGGUGUGGGAUGAGCCCGCGGCCUAUCAGCUUGUUGGUGGGGUAAUGGCCUACCAAGGCGGCGACGGGUAGCCGGCCUGAGAGGGUGGACGGCCACAUUGGGACUGAGACACGGCCCAGACUCCUACGGGAGGCAGCAGUGGGGAAUAUUGCACAAUGGGCGCAAGCCUGAUGCAGCGACGCCGCGUGGGGGAUGGAAAGGCCUUUCGGGGUUGUAAAACUCCUUUUCGCCCGGGAACGAAAGCCCCACCUGGUGGGG
Molecule: ribosomal RNA, 449 nt
Filed under: Corynebacterium sp. oral taxon A16
Lineage: Bacteria; Bacillati; Actinomycetota; Actinomycetes; Mycobacteriales; Corynebacteriaceae
Description: bacterial SSU rRNA
Rfam family: Bacterial small subunit ribosomal RNA
Source: RNAcentral